RNAcentral lists this transfer RNA (28 nucleotides) under Corallorhiza trifida. RNAcentral describes it as "partial tRNA-Phe". Lineage: Eukaryota; Viridiplantae; Streptophyta; Magnoliopsida; Asparagales; Orchidaceae. The record is from RNAcentral.
GUGGGGAUAGGUGAGUGGAGAGGAGAGG